UUUAUGGAGAGUUUGAUCCUGGCUCAGGACGAACGCUGGCGGCGUGCUUAACACAUGCAAGUCGAACGGUCCGCAUAGAUAGCUUGCUAGCUAUGCGGA
This 99-nucleotide ribosomal RNA is filed under the name Thermovirgaceae bacterium. RNAcentral's name for it is "partial 16S ribosomal RNA". It matches the Rfam family "Bacterial small subunit ribosomal RNA", at positions 1 to 96 of the family's 1533-position model. The record is from RNAcentral. Lineage: Bacteria; Thermotogati; Synergistota; Synergistia; Synergistales; Thermovirgaceae.